CAAUCCAUUUGGCCACAAAAAGGCCAUUUUUGGAGCUGUAGUCAAAAACUUGUCACACGUCAUUACAUUUCUAAAGACUUCAGCAAUGAAGAAAGGGUGAUUGUGUGCCUGAAGGUGAAGCUGAAUGCUAUCUUUAGUGAAGUCUAGAGAUAAAGGGUGCCAUGAGAACAGAAUCUAUUUAGGAUGAAUUGGACAGAAUAAUGGCAUUGAAAUUCCCACUUCACCUAUAGGAGGGAGAUAAAGGUAAAACAUUCUAGUUAAUGGAACAUGAGCCACUAAUUUGCAGAGAAAGACAAAGGCAGGGGAGUGUACUGUUCUUGCAUGAAAUGAAUAAUUUUUUUCAGUCUUUGUGUUGACAGGGAGAGACUGUAUCAAGAAAGAAAAUGAGAGGAGAGGCAACCUAAGAUCAAAACAAAUGACAAUGGAAAGUCAAACAAUGAAAACAAUGACUCUCAUCACUUCCGUAGGGAGGAUUGUGAAAACCAGGGAAUGCUAUGAGUGUUUGAAAAAAUCAAUUAUUUAUUAAGGAUUAUGAAGUGUUUGCCCUAUCAGCUAUUUAAGAAAACCUGCGAGCCCUAAUAUCUACAGAGGCAAACUGCUUUGCUCAAAUUUUUCUGCUGGUGUUGUUCUAGGGAAACACGUCAUGAUGAAUUGCAGACAGACAUUCCCAGCCAGUUCUCAUCCUGAAAGGUCCUCUUACCCUCCAGGGAGCUAGAAAUAGAAGAUGAGAUGGUUUAGACAUAUUCAAAAGGCAGCGUUAUCCAUUGACUUGUGCACGUGUUUAUUUGAGAUUUAUAGUCCUCAUUACAUUUGUACAGAUUGGCAGCAGGACUUCUUCAGGGUAGGCUAAUGUUUUCGGUUGUCAUAUUUGGCACAAAUUGGGUCUUUAGUACUGAUUAGGGUCUAACUCGCAAUUUGAAAAUAAUCCUGCCACCCAUUAGUGGCUCUGUAGAAACUUCCACAGCCUCCCUGGCUGCUUCCUGUUAGUAUCUGCAAGCGAAAAUCAUAUUUUCUGGCAGUCAGAAUUUCCACUUCACAUUUCCUAAUAUCGUUUUUCAUUAGACUUCUGUCAAAGAACCCUGACACAGCCUGAGGCCCAGGAACAGAAGGAGCAUACCAAUAGGACUUCUACCAUUCCUGUCAUUUGUCCCUACAUGCACUCUGUUCAAAAAGCUGCCCUCAAAUGCAUUUGUGAGGCUGCAACAACAAACCUUUUCUCCGAAUCCUUCAGCACAGAAGCUGAGGUAGUGCCAAUAAGAAAAGGGCCAAAGUCCAAUUACUCCCCCGAUGGCUGAGCAUCCUGCACAGAUCCGUACAAUGUUCCCUCUCCCUCUCGGUGCAGACCAGGCCCUAAUUUUGAGCCUCUUGCUACUUGCCACUUCUAGAUGCUGAGAUUAUGUCACUCACUAAACAUAGGAGAUAGGCAGCAUAUAUCACUCACCUGGGCAAUGUUCCAUAGAGAACCAGUAGAUGCGAUUUCUUUGGUUGCUUUCUUUUGUGUGGCACUGAGGAGCUGCCGGCUGUGUUGUAGCCGAGGACCCCCUGGGUCUGGGCACUCAGAAGGGCAUUAAGGACUGUUCAGGAGCAUCAGCAGGAGGCCUGCUGAACAUACCUGAUUAUCGAGGGCUACACACUGAACCCCAGUUUCACAAAAACCAAAAAGAAUGACAAAUGGUCGACCUGUAUUCUUAAGUCACCAUGCUGCCUUGAUUGAGUAUCAACGACCAUGAACCUAUAUAGAGGUAAUCUGAUUCAAACCCUCCUUACCGUGCCAUUUCUUUUGGAAGAAUGGCAGGUCUGGAGAUGGAAAGAUUAAGCGUGAGAUUAUUUCCCUUCCUGUCUGUCUCCAUUUGCCAUUCAAAUAUGUAAAUAUCUGUAAUGAAAGAUUACGGUGGGUAAGAACAGUGCCCGAUGAACCCCCAGGAAAUAAAGAACAGGGAGCCACUUGUUUUUCAUACAAGUAUUUGCUUCAUUUACUCAAACAUUUGUGUGCCUACUAGAUGCUUGGGAUUAUUCUAGGUAUGGGGAACAAAAGCCGUCGUUGUCAUGGAGUUGACCUUGUAGAAUGGAAAAGGCAGAGAGUAAUGGGACAGCGAAAUGUCUAGUGUGUUCGAUGCUGCUGAGUGCUAAGAAGAAUGGUGAAAUGGAAUGUAUAAAAGUUCCAAAGGAGACUGAAAAAUGUUAUGGUGGCCAUUGGAUACCCAAGGAGAUGAACUCCAGCAAAGACCUAGUGAAGGAAAGUGGGCACUUAGUGAGGCAUACACCAGUGGGAGCAGCAGGGGAAGGCUCCCAGCAUAGCAUCUGAACUGGAAUGCAUGUGGGGUGGAGGAUGCCAGUGAGAUGAGCUGCAUGGGCUGGGGAGAGGAAGCUGGAUGAGGUUAAAAACAGAGCACAGAAAUAGGAACAUUUUGAUUUUACUCUCAGAUAUAUGGGGACCCACUGAAGUGUUUUGAGCCAAAUAGAGGCAUGAUCUCACAAGAUUUAAUGGUCGUCUUGGGUUUCUGUUUUGAAACUUGAUUUGGACAUUCAAAGUAAGCCAAGAGAAUUCAGUGAGAGGAACUUGCGGUACGCCAGCCACGGGCACUAAGAUCAACAGUUAAUAAAUGGGACCUCAUCAAACUGAGAGGCUUCUACACAGCAAAGGACACCACCAUUUAGAUAAAGGACACUGGCAUUUGGACAAGACAGCAGCCUUCAGAAUGGAAUGGAAAAAGUUUUUUUUUGUUUUUAUCAACUAUACAUUUGAUAAAUGGCUAAUAUCUAAAAUGCAUAAAGAACCUAAAAAAACCAACUUGAAUGUUGAGAAAACAAAUAACCCAAUUAAAAUGGGGUACAGGA
Mesocricetus auratus (golden hamster) is the source of this 2838-nucleotide long non-coding RNA. RefSeq lists it as uncharacterized. The record is from RefSeq and is a predicted model, not a curated record. The transcript is spliced from 3 exons. Lineage: Eukaryota; Metazoa; Chordata; Mammalia; Rodentia; Cricetidae.